Long non-coding RNA from Pygocentrus nattereri (red-bellied piranha), 1268 nucleotides. RefSeq lists it as uncharacterized. The record is from RefSeq and is a predicted model, not a curated record. NCBI's taxonomy places the organism in Eukaryota, Metazoa, Chordata, Actinopteri, Characiformes, Serrasalmidae. The transcript is spliced from 4 exons.
CGUCCCUCAAACAGCUCCACACAUCCAGCGCGCGGCGCGGGGAGAGAGAGGGCCGCGCUCGUCUAAUGGCUUUCACAGCGGACACCGACUGCCAAAAAACAGAACCAUCCUGACUCUGGCUGCAAAAAAGCCUAGGUUAUGUCUUCCAUGUUCAAGGAUUUGCUGACUUUCUGCUCUGGGGAGAACACUGCUGAGCCAUUCAGUCGUUAUUAAGACAUGUUCACGGGAGCACAGGUGCAAACCCAGGGUUGUGUGGAUUCUUUGGCCCACAAAAGCGCGGUAGCUUCUCUGUGGAAACUCCCCCUUCCAACCUCUGCGCAGAGAGUGACCUCUCAUAUGUGUAGAACCACCAUGGGAGUCUCAGGAGCGAGAACAGCGGACACUCAGGGCUGGGCGCGGGUGGUUGGUGCACCUUAUCAGAAGUUCUGAUUCUGACGGCGCUGACAGUGACACGGGUAAUUCAUCAUGUCAUCGACAGCGCUGAUGGAUGGAGCGGCACCUUGGCUGAGCUGGAGAGGCGGGAGAGGUGUUCUCAGCCCCGCCCAUCCUCUGUCUUCACCGUCCGUCUGAAGUCGUUCUCUCUGCCACGGAGCACUGAGGCCUCGGCUCUCUGACAGGAAAUCUAUAAGAACGUACCUGAUCUGCGGUCUCGACAAGUCACCACGCUGCCAUCCUGUAACCUUGCAAUCAUGGGGGAGCAAGAGCAAAGCAGUUGGUGGGGUCGGGGGGGCAUCCAUGAAGUGCACCACAGUGGCAAUGACUAAUUCAGUUCUGGAUGAUUGAAAGAGAGUAAGGGGAAGUUGACUUGUCACGCAAAGGCAGUAACAUGCUGAAUGUGUACUGUGAAGAAAAUAUGAGUAUUCUUUCAUGUGUAAGAGAGAGAGAGCACGAGAGAGAGGGAGAGAGAGAUUUUAUCAGAGAGGAUUUAUACAGCCUGAAUGUUUACUUCAGUACAACAUUGUGGAAGGCGCCAUACGAGACAGAAUCUGAAUAAUCAAUGAAAUUCCUGUAGAAGGAAUUAAUCAGAAACUGAGUUUCAGUCUCAUAUCAAGGGUCGACUGAGUGAAGGCUUGUUAUAACACAUUUAACAUUUAAAUAGCAGGUACUAGCUAAUGAUGAGCUAAAAACAAUGAGAAAGAAGAAGUGUUUGCAUUGUUGAGGGUUUUAGUAUAUUUUUAAAAAUAGCAUUCAUAUUUUGAAUGUUAGUGGUAUUAACAGUGGAUAAACUGGUACCUACUAUUGAGCUAAUAAUAAGCUCCCUUCAACUU